Molecule: ribosomal RNA, 383 nt
Filed under: Bathycoccus sp.
Lineage: Eukaryota; Viridiplantae; Chlorophyta; Mamiellophyceae; Mamiellales; Bathycoccaceae
Description: partial small subunit ribosomal RNA
Rfam family: Eukaryotic small subunit ribosomal RNA
Source: RNAcentral
AUUCCAGCUCCAAUAGCGUAUAUUUAAGUUGUUGCAGUUAAAAAGCUCGUAGUUGGAUUUUGGUUAAGAGGGCGCGGUCGGCCGUUUGGUCUGUACUGCGUUGUCUUGACUUCCUGAUGAGGACAUGCUCUUGGUUAACGCUGAGACAUGGAGUCAUCGUGGUUACUUUGAAAAAAUUAGAGUGUUCAAAGCGGGCUUACGCUUGAAUAUAUUAGCAUGGAAUAACACUAUAGGACUCUGGUGCUAUUUUGUUGGUUUCGAACACCGGAGUAAUGAUUAACAGGGACAGUCUGGGGCACUCGUAUUCCGCCGAGAGAGGUGAAAUUCUCAGACCAACGGAAGACGAACCACUGCGAAAGCAUUUGCCAGGGAUGUUUCCAUCG